Molecule: ribosomal RNA, 465 nt
Filed under: Vreelandella stevensii
Lineage: Bacteria; Pseudomonadati; Pseudomonadota; Gammaproteobacteria; Oceanospirillales; Halomonadaceae
Description: partial 16S ribosomal RNA
Rfam family: Bacterial small subunit ribosomal RNA
Source: RNAcentral
CCUACGGGAGGCAGCAGUGGGGAAUAUUGGACAAUGGGGGCAACCCUGAUCCAGCCAUGCCGCGUGUGUGAAGAAGGCCCUCGGGUUGUAAAGCACUUUCAGUGAGGAAGAACGCCUGGUGGUUAAUACCCAUCAGGAAAGACAUCACUCACAGAAGAAGCACCGGCUAACUCCGCGCCAGCAGCCGCGGUAAUACGGAGGGUGCGAGCGUUAAUCGGAAUUACUGGGCGUAAAGCGCGCGUAGGUGGCUUGAUAAGCCGGUUGUGAAAGCCCCGGGCUCAACCUGGGAACGGCAUCCGGAACUGUCAAGCUAGAGUGCAGGAGAGGAAGGUAGAAUUCCCGGUGUAGCGGUGAAAUGCGUAGAGAUCGGGAGGAAUACCAGUGGCGAAGGCGGCCUUCUGGACUGACACUGACACUGAGGUGCGAAAGCGUGGGUAGCAAACAGGAUUAGAUACCCUUGUAGUC